GCUUAACUCUGGAACUGCCAUCAAAACUUUUUAGCUAGAGUAUGAUAGAGGAAAGCAGAAUUUCUAGUGUAGAGGUGAAAUUCGUAGAUAUUAGAAAGAAUACCAAUUGCGAAGGCAACUUUCUGGAUCAUUACUGACGCUGAGGAACGAAAGCAUGGGUAGCGAAGAGGAUUAGAUACCCUCGUAGUCCAUGCCGUAAACGAUGUGUGUUAGACGUUGGAAAUUUAUUUUCAGUGUCACAGCGAAAGCAUUAAACACACCGCCUGGGGAGUACGACCGCAAGGUUAAAACUCAAAUGAAUUGACGGGGACCCGCACAAGUAGUGGAGCAUGUGGUUUAAUUCGAAGAUACGCGCAGAACCUUACCAACACUCGACAUGUUCGUCGCGACUCUAAGAGAUUAGAGUUUUCGGUUCGGCCGGACGAAACACAGGUGCUGCAUGGCUGUCGUCAGCUCGUGUCGUGAGAUGUUGGGUUAAGUCCCGCAACGAGCGCAACCCUCACUUUUAGUUGCCAUCAUUUAGUUGGGCACUCUGAAAGAACUGCCAGUGAUAAGCUGGAGGAAGGUGGGGAUGACGUCAAGUCCUCAUGGCCCUUACGUGUUGGGCUACACACGUGCUACAAUGGCAUUUACAAUAGGAAGCAAGGUGGCGACAUCAAGCAAAUCCUAAAAAGAUGCCUCAGUUCGGAUUGUACUCUGCAACUCGAGUACAUGAAGCUGGAAUUACUAGUAAUCGCGGAUCAGCGCGCCGCGGUGAAUACGUUCCCGGGUCUUGUACACACCGCCCGUCACACCAUGGGAGUUGGUUCUACCUUAAGGCAAGGUUUAAAAUCCUUGACUACGGUAUAGUCAGCGACUGGGGUGAAGUCGUAACAAGGUAGCCGUA
This 886-nucleotide ribosomal RNA is filed under the name uncultured bacterium. Its description in RNAcentral is "bacterial SSU rRNA". It matches the Rfam family "Bacterial small subunit ribosomal RNA", at positions 607 to 1504 of the family's 1533-position model. The record is from RNAcentral.